GAUGAACGCUGGCGGUGUGCCUAAUACAUGCAAGUCGAGCGAACAGACGAGGAGCUUACUCCUCUGACGUUAGCCGCGGACGGGUGAGUAACACGUGGAUAACCUACCUAUAAGACUGGGAUAACUUCGGGAAACCGGAGCUAAUACCGGAUAACAUCUUGAACCAUAUGGUUCAACAGUGAAAGACGGUCUUGCUGUCACGAAUAGAUGGAUCCGCGUCGCAUUAGCUAGUUGUUACGUUAACGGCUUACCAAGGCAAGGAUGCGUAGCCGACGUGAGAGGGUGAUCGGCCACACGGGAAGGGGGACACGGACAAGACUCCUACGGGAGGCAGCAGAAGGGAAUGUUCCGCAAUGGGCGAAAGCCUGACGGAGCAACGCCGCGUGAGUGAAAAAGGUCUUGGGAUCGUAAAACUCUGUUAUUGGGGAAGAACAAAUGUGUAAGGAACUGAGCACGUAGUGACGGUACCUAAUCAGAAAGCCACGGCUAACUACGUG
Molecule: ribosomal RNA, 497 nt
Filed under: uncultured bacterium
Lineage: Bacteria
Description: partial 16S ribosomal RNA
Rfam family: Bacterial small subunit ribosomal RNA
Source: RNAcentral